This 440-nucleotide ribosomal RNA is filed under the name uncultured bacterium. Its description in RNAcentral is "partial 16S ribosomal RNA". It matches the Rfam family "Bacterial small subunit ribosomal RNA", at positions 338 to 795 of the family's 1533-position model. The record is from RNAcentral.
CCUACGGGGGGCAGCAGUAGGGAAUAUUGCUCAAUGGGGGAAACCCUGAAGCAGCAACGCCGCGUGGAGGAUGAAGGUUUUCGGAUUGUAAACUCCUUUUGUUAGAGAAGAUAAUGACGGUAUCUAACGAAUAAGCACCGGCUAACUCCGUGCCAGCAGCCGCGGUAAUACGGAGGGUGCAAGCGUUACUCGGAAUAACUGGGCGUAAAGGGCGCGUAGGCGGGAUAGCAAGUCAGAUGUGAAAUCCUAUGGCUUAACCAUAGAACUGCAUUUGAAACUGUUAGUCUAGAGUAUGGGAGAGGUAGGUGGAAUGCUUGGUGUAGGGGUAAAAUCCGUAGAGAUCAAGAGGAAUACUCAUUGCGAAGGCGACCUGCUAGAACAUAACUGACGCUGAUGCGCGAAAGCGUGGGGAGCAAACAGGAUUAGAUACCCGAGUAGUC